This 650-nucleotide small RNA is filed under the name Pan troglodytes (chimpanzee). RNAcentral's name for it is "retained intron". The record is from RNAcentral. Lineage: Eukaryota; Metazoa; Chordata; Mammalia; Primates; Hominidae.
CCGGGGCUCUUGAGCUAUAAGUGGCACCUCAGGGCCCUGACGGGCGUCUCGCCAUGCUGCUCCUGGGCCUGCUGCUGCUGCUGCCCCUGCUGGCUGGCGCCCGCCUGCUGUGGAACUGGUGGAAGCUCCGGAGCCUCCACCUCCCGCCUCUUGCCCCGGGCUUCUUGCACCUGCUGCAGCCUGACCUCCCCAUCUAUCUGCUUGGCCUGACUCAGAAAUUCGGGCCCAUCUACAGGCUCCACCUUGGGCUGCAAGAUGUGGUGGUGCUGAACUCCAAGAGGACCAUUGAGGAAGCCAUGGUCAAAAAGUGGGCAGACUUUGCUGGCAGACCUGAGCCACUUACCUGUAAGGGCCAGGGGCAUUUUUUCUUUCUUAAAAAAAUUUUUUUUUAAGAGAUGGGGUCUUGCUAUGCUGCCCAGGCUGGUCUUAAAUUCCUAGUCUCAAAUGAUCCUCCCACCUCAGCCUCAAGUGUGAGCCACCUUUGGGGCAUCCCCAAUCCAGGUCCCUGGAAGCUCUUGGGGGGGGCAUAUCUGGUGGGGAGGAAGCAGGGGUUGGGGAGGCCGAGGAAGGUCAGGCCCUCGGCUGCCUUCAUCAGUUCCCACCCUCCAGCCCCCAACUCCUCCUGCAGACAAGCUGGUGUCUAAGAACUA